UUGUUAUGGGAAGUUUUGUGAUUUUAUGGUAGAUUUAAGUAAUGACGAAAAUGAAAUUGUUAAGGUGUGGAUUAUGAUUAUGGUUGAUGAAAUUGGAAGAUGGAAAUAUGUUGUGAAUAUGUAGGUUGAAGAUUAGAAGUUUUGGAUGGAUUAUGGUUUUGGUGGAAAGUUUGUAUAUUUUGUAUAUCUUGUGAAUAUUUUGUAGAAAUGAUAUGAAAUGCUUCCGAAUUGUAUUGUAAUGAUCUUGAUUAGUAAUGAAUAUGAAAAUGUCGAUAUUGAUUUGAAAAUACGAAGUUGGAAUGAAGGUUACGACAUGAUGUUGGAAAGAUGAAUAAUUAUGUUAUAUUGUGUUUUGUAGUGAUUAUUGUUGUUGUUGGUGUUGUUGUUGGGUUGUUGUUGAUUGUUUUGGCCGAGUUGAAUUCUCGGGGGCGCUAUAUGUAUAGGGGAGAUGCUGCCCAAAUUUUUAUAGACAAGAAUUGGUUAAGGUUGAAAUUUUAAGUCUUAUGAAUAGUAAAUUGGUAAAUGUGACCAUUUGUAGGUUUUGGACGAAACGGGAUUUGAGUUUUGGCAAGCGUAAAGGGCAAGAAAGGUACAGACGACUGGUUCGCUGAUCCACACGUUUAGGAUCCCGUUUCUGCUAUUUUGGGGCGCUCUCUUCUUCAGAGCCCAUCUUUUGGUAUAGUCUGUCACUGAUAUCUGGAUAUGUACUUUGUUCAGGGUAUGACGGGGCCCUGUCCCGUCUUAUGAUUAUGAUAUGUUCUGUAGAGGUCUGUGGAUACAUCUGUGUGGGUUCUGUACAUAUGUUUGGGAUACUUUGUUCUAUGAUGGCCUUAUCGGCUUCUGUGUGCCAAGUCUGCUCUUCUGCUAAAUCCUGUAGCAUCCACUAAUGUUAUUAUUAUAUUAUUAUUCUGAUAA
Lycium barbarum (goji berry) is the source of this 915-nucleotide long non-coding RNA. RefSeq lists it as uncharacterized. The transcript is spliced from 2 exons. The record is from RefSeq and is a predicted model, not a curated record. NCBI's taxonomy places the organism in Eukaryota, Viridiplantae, Streptophyta, Magnoliopsida, Solanales, Solanaceae.